This 89-nucleotide transfer RNA is filed under the name Synergistales bacterium. Its description in RNAcentral is "tRNA-Leu". It matches the Rfam family "tRNA". From Rfam's summary of the family: Transfer RNA (tRNA) molecules are approximately 80 nucleotides in length. Their secondary structure includes four short double-helical elements and three loops (D, anti-codon, and T loops). Further hydrogen bonds mediate the characteristic L-shaped molecular structure. tRNAs have two regions of fundamental functional importance: the anti-codon, which is responsible for specific mRNA codon recognition, and the 3' end, to which the tRNAs corresponding amino acid is attached (by aminoacyl-tRNA synthetases). tRNAs cope with the degeneracy of the genetic code in two manners: having more than one tRNA (with a specific anti-codon) for a particular amino acid; and 'wobble' base-pairing, i.e. permitting non-standard base-pairing at the 3rd anti-codon position. Lineage: Bacteria; Thermotogati; Synergistota; Synergistia; Synergistales. RNAcentral also lists the same sequence under 1 other name. The record is from RNAcentral.
GCCGGGCUGGCGGAACAGGCAGACGCACGGGACUUAAAAUCCUGUGGGCCGAGAGGCCCGUGUGGGUUCGACUCCCACGCCCGGCACCA